GAAAGAAAGAGAAAGAAAGAAAGAAGGAAAGAAAAAAAGUUUAUUGGUGCUGGCAGCAUCUUACAAGACCUGGCGAGUUCUGACUGGCAAGUGUCAGUAGUUGUUAGGUAGGACUGGGAAUCUUGGAAUUAUGGUCAGGUUCCUGCAGUUUUGGAUUGGGUUUGUGAGACACUGUGCCAGGCAAGUGUUUUUGCAUAACUGGCUCGCUCUCCCUGUGCUUCUAGCUGUCCUUGUGUGGCCCAUGUGAUAAGCUGCAGUUUGGAAACAUUUCUUGUGAUAGUUCCUGUUAGCAGGCAAACAGGAGAGCCUCAUCUUGCAUGAGAGCCCUCCCUUUAUAGCCUUGCUGGCUCUGUCUGCUGAGGUUUGACCCAAGUGACUCCAUUUUGAAUCUUAAACUUGCGCACUACUCAUGUGGAAGAUUAAAAUGUACAUUUCAGGACCUGGUGCUUUCUCUUCCGUGUAUUCUCAGAACAGCUGUAGAGUGAACUUUGAUCUUACUUCUCUUGACUUCAUUAUGCGUAGAGCACACUCCCAUACCUGAAUUAAAUGACAAAGCAUUUUAUAUUAACUGACAAUGACUGAUGCCAUGGGCAAAUCCUAUUUCUAUAAAUGACUGAAUUUUCCUCUGGACUGCGCAUGAGGGGAGAAAGACGUCUGCAGUUUCGGUUUCCUGGAAAACGAAACCUGUCUCAUUUGUUGCCUGUGUCAAGGGGCUGUGCCUCAGUCGGGGUGGAGCUGCUUAAAAGGCCUGGGAUCAGCCCUUUGGGAACACAUCCAAGCUUAAAACCGUGCGGUCAGCUUCACAUUCUCAGGAACUCUCCUCUGGGCCACGGCAUUAACCCGAGCAGGCAUGGUGGCCUCUGCUCUCACCUCAUCAGCAGUGACCAGUGUGGCCAAAGUGGCCAGGGUGGCCUCUGGCUGGGCCGUAGUUUUGCCCGUGGCCAGGAUUGCUACAGUUGUGAUUGGAGGAGUUGUGGCUGUGGAGGCUGUGCCCAUGCUGCUCAGUGCCAUGGGCUUCACUGCGGCGGGAAUCGCCUCAUCCUCCAUAGCAGCCAAGAUGAUGUCCGCGGCGGCCAUUGCCAAUGGGGGUGGAGUCGCCUCGGGCAGCCUUGUGGCUACUCUGCAGUCACUGGCUGCAGCCCAUUCAGGAGCACUCACCCUCUGACAGCUGUGAAGCUUCAACACUGGCUUUCCCACCCACCAGGAGCCUCAAGGGACCCAAGGGAGACUGGAGUGGCUGCUCUGAGUUUGUGGAAAACAGUGGGCACAGAAAGGAGUUAUGAGCUGCGAGGACUGCAAUGAGCCCACGUGGGAGAUAGCUGGAGUGCUGUGACUUCCAAAGCACCUGGACUGGGGAAGGGAGGAAAAGAGCUUCUAUGUCCUGCCACUCUGCCCUCUGUUCUCCUGAGUCCCCAUACCAACCUCUGGGUCACCUACGGGACACCCUAAAUAGCCGCAGGGCAGUCCUAAAAGUGCUGGAACAAGAAGAUCAACAAGAAGAUCAAAACAAAUAACACUUACAUACACACACCAUGGUCAAGUCACUGCCCAUGUCUCAUUACAUAAAAUCCUCACGCCAUUCCAAGAAAGGUGACGCUCUUGGUCCUAUCUUACAGACGUUGUUAGAAGAACUUGUAAGAAGUUGAUCCAGAGAACCCAACUCCUGCUGCUAUUAAAGAUGGGCAUCUUUCCAUGGCUGAAAAUGAUCAACUUUGCAGGUUAUUUCCAGUAGAUCUGCAGCCUGAAUCUGGUUGCCUGCCCACUAGCUCUCUCCAGCUGCCUCCUUGAGCAAACAGCCUGCACUCAGGGAGGAAGCCUCCCCAGAUGUGAGAAUAGAUCUCUGCCUCCUCUGUGCUCCCCGCUUGUGGUUGGUGUCCAUCACUGCACUGAACAUAAUGCUCUGUGUCACUUUUGUUUGGGUAAGUGCCCAGUUUCUCCUGACAUCACAGUCUCCUGGGGGUCCGUGUGAACUCCUCCCAUCCACUGUAGCACCCGUCACAUGAACAAAGACUGGAGUCUUCAGGUGACUGAUAUAGUUUGGAUGUUUGUACCCUCCAAGUCUCAUGUUAAAAUGUGAUUCCUGUGUUGGAAGUGGGGCCUAGUGGCAGGUGUUUGGGUCAUGGAAGCGGAUCCCUCAUGAAUGACUCCAUCUCCUCCCCACAGUAAGGAGCGUUUUCACUCUAUUUGUUCACAAGAGAGCUGGCUACUUAAAAGAGCCUGGCAUCUCUCUUGCUCCCUCUCUCGCCACAUGACACACCUGCUCCUCCUUCCCCUUGUGCAAUUGUAAGCUUCCUGAGGCUUUCACCAGAAAUAAAUGCCGGCUUGUACAAAC
RNA transcript from Symphalangus syndactylus (siamang), 2332 nucleotides. It is a transcript of the gene named interferon alpha-inducible protein 27, mitochondrial, with no coding region annotated. The record is from RefSeq and is a predicted model, not a curated record. NCBI's taxonomy places the organism in Eukaryota, Metazoa, Chordata, Mammalia, Primates, Hylobatidae.